UACGACGGGUGCAAGCGUUACUCGGAAUUACUGGGCGUAAAGCGUGCGUAGGUGGUUCGUUACGUCUGAUGUGAAAGCCCUGGGCUCAACCUGGGAAUGGCAUUGGAUACUGGCGAUCUAGAGUGCGGUAGAGGGCAGUGGAAUUCCCGGUGUAGCAGUGAAAUGCGUAGAGAUCGGGAGGAACAUCUGUGGCGAAGGCGACUGCCUGGACCAGCACUGACACUGAGGCACGAAAGCGUGGGGAGCAAACAGG
Molecule: ribosomal RNA, 253 nt
Filed under: uncultured bacterium
Lineage: Bacteria
Description: partial 16S ribosomal RNA
Rfam family: Bacterial small subunit ribosomal RNA
Source: RNAcentral